GACGAACGCUGGCGGCGUGCCUAAUACAUGCAAGUUGAGCGCUGAAGGUUGGUACUUGUACCAACUGGAUGAGCAGCGAACGGGUGAGUAACGCGUGGGGAAUCUGCCUUUGAGCGGGGGACAAAAUUUGGAAACGAAUGCUAAUACCGCAUAAAAACUUUAAACACAAGUUUUAAGUUUGAAAGAUGCAAUUGCAUCACUCAAAGAUGAUCCCGCGUUGUAUUAGCUAGUUGGUGAGGUAAAGGCUCACCAAGGCGAUGAUACAUAGCCGACCUGAGAGGGUGAUCGGCCACAUUGGGACUGAGACACGGCCCAAACUCCUACGGGAGGCAGCAGUAGGGAAUCUUCGGAAAUGGACGAAAGUCUGACCGAGCAACGCCGCGUGAGUGAAGAAGGUUUUCGGAUCGUAAAACUCUGUUGGUAGAGAAGAACGUUGGUGAGAGUGGAAAGCUCAUCAAGUGACGGUAACUACCCAGAAAGGGACGGCUAACUACGUG
RNAcentral lists this ribosomal RNA (497 nucleotides) under uncultured bacterium. RNAcentral's name for it is "partial 16S ribosomal RNA". It matches the Rfam family "Bacterial small subunit ribosomal RNA", at positions 28 to 507 of the family's 1533-position model. The record is from RNAcentral.